ACCUUUGACAUGUACGGAAUCCUUCAGAGAUGAGGGAGUGCUCGAAAGAGAGCCGUAACACAGGUGCUGCAUGGCUGUCGUCAGCUCGUGUCGUGAGAUGUUGGGUUAAGUCCCGCAACGAGCGCAACCCUUGCCAUUAGUUGCUACGAAAGGGCACUCUAAUGGGACUGCCGGUGACAAACCGGAGGAAGGUGGGGAUGACGUCAAGUCCUCAUGGCCCUUAUAGGUGGGGCUACACACGUCAUACAAUGGCUGGUACAGAGGGUUGCCAACCCGCGAGGGGGAGCCAAUCCCAUAAAGCCAGUCGUAGUCCGGAUCGCAGUCUGCAACUCGACUGCGUGAAGUCGGAAUCGCUAGUAAUCGCGGAUCAGAAUGUCGCGGUGAAUACGUUCCCGGGUCUUGUACACACCGCCCGUCACACCAUGGGAGCGGGUCUCGCCAGAAGUAGGUAGCCUAACCGCAAGGAGGGCGCUUACCACGGCGGGGUUCGUGACUGGGGUGAAGUCGUAACAAGGUAGGCGUAGUGCU
This 528-nucleotide ribosomal RNA is filed under the name uncultured bacterium. RNAcentral describes it as "bacterial SSU rRNA". It matches the Rfam family "Bacterial small subunit ribosomal RNA", at positions 977 to 1509 of the family's 1533-position model. The record is from RNAcentral.